UCUUUCAACGUGCUCACGAAGACCAGUCACAUAAAUUGCAUUGCUUACAAUGACAUCCCGAAUUCUUUGCAUCUAAAACCAACAUAUCAAAACAGCGGAUGGCUCUUUUUCAACGUCAGCUCACUUGAACUGCAACAGAUUUUGUCUUCAAAUACUCAUUCCUGCUUCGCAACUAAGAUCCCUGACGCCCUCACCGACGAAGAUGACUUCUUACUGACUGAUGUUGAGUCUUGGUUGAGCAAGCCAUAAUGAUACAGCUGGCUGUGGAAAGAAAAUUCUCUCUCCAACAUUAUCAAAAUACGCUGAAGCAGUUGCAACCAUUUCUAAAAGCAUUUAUUCAGGAGUUUUAAUAAUUUUCUCCAUUAGCGGCUGCUUAUACAUACAUAUAUACAUAAAUUUAAUUGGGUCUCCCUUAACAGGGCUUUUCAG
Molecule: long non-coding RNA, 429 nt
Organism: Pocillopora damicornis (cauliflower coral)
Lineage: Eukaryota; Metazoa; Cnidaria; Anthozoa; Scleractinia; Pocilloporidae
Source: RefSeq, a predicted model, not a curated record